GAAAUGUGUGGUUCAACUUGCUGAAUGUUGUGCUGCUUUCCAUAAUGUUGUACAGUAAACAUUGGUCCUCUCUACAGGUGCCUGUGAUGAAUGACACAUCGAUCAACCCAUAGUCUUCAGACAUUGCCGUGUGAAGCCAAUGAAAGAUAUCUGCUGGUAACCAAAUGAUGAUCUUAUGAAAAGACCGCGGGGACUAUGAGCUAUCCUGGGGUUCCACGUGCCAGAGACAUGAAGAAAGCAGAGCGGUCCCAGAGAAAAGUGACCGUGGAAGAGGAGCUUCCGCCAGAAGCGAGGGAAUAGGGAAUGUGGACAAGUGUCUCCAAAACAUCUCCUCCACAAGGAUCCCCCGACCCCCAGCCUCGGCCACAGGCAUUGCUUUGCUCCCUGAACCCAGUGUAAAGGGCUAAUGUUAUUAUUAGUCUGUUCCUUCUGUGAUCUUCCGCCAGGCCAGAGCUACCCAAGCGAACAAUAGUCAUUAUCAUCUCUGACAAUCUGAGAAGAUGAACUGCAAGGGAAAAAUUGAAAAAUUGCACGUGUGAGUUAUAUUAUGUGUCUUAAUUUUAAAGCUAAGAUGAAACCACAGUGCACUGUAGCAUACUGUUAUUUAUCAGAGGCAAUUAUUAGGAAUGCCAGUUUGCAUAGUACAUAUUUGUGCCCAUAAAAACGCAGUACGUACUGACCCGUCUGGUCUCUGAAUUCCAGAUUGCU
RNAcentral lists this long non-coding RNA (708 nucleotides) under Felis catus (domestic cat). RNAcentral's name for it is "lncRNA (ENSFCAG00000049980.1)". The record is from RNAcentral. Lineage: Eukaryota; Metazoa; Chordata; Mammalia; Carnivora; Felidae.